Molecule: long non-coding RNA, 1349 nt
Organism: Homo sapiens (human)
Lineage: Eukaryota; Metazoa; Chordata; Mammalia; Primates; Hominidae
Exons: 2
Source: RefSeq, a predicted model, not a curated record
ACUCAGCCGAGGGCAGCUCCACCCUGCAAGAAACUCGCAGCUCAAUUUGGAGCAAGUUUUGCUUGCUGAGGGGAGGCUGCUGUCAAUGGCACCGAAUGCCAAGCAAGGAAGCAGACCUGAUUCGUUUCUAGGCUUCAUCACCAGCUGCUUCUCCCUCGGCCUCCUCAGCCCCCAGCUGCCUGGGUUCGAAUCCCAGCUCUCUGCUCAUCAGGUGUGUAACCCUGGGCGAUGACUCCACCUCUGUGAGCUUCCACGUCUGCAGCUGUCAGCUCAGAAUCAAGAUGUCUGCCAGCCAAGAAUACCAGAAGCCUUGGUGGCAGGAAGGAGUGCUACCGCUGCCUGAGAACCACUGGUAACACCUUCCUGUGCUAAGGGCCCAUCGUCCUAACACAGGCUGUGCCUCAGGCAGAAGCUUCCUCUUCCUUCCUAUAUGCCCCAUCUCUGAGAUCACAGUAGGAGAAACCUCACCAUCACAGCCAAGACCGGAAUGCCAGUCAUGGAUCCAUCCAACCUCAUCCUUCCAUUGCUGAGAACUGUAAGCAUGGAGAGAGAGACCGCUGGCUAAGCCUGCACUCCUUUGUCCUCAUUCUGAGGGGAAAAAAAGCCAGAAGUCCUAGAGAGUUUAGCUUGCAGAGCCCAAUCUCACACACUAUAAAAUAGUUGGAGAUCUCUUACAUUUGAAAAAUCACAGCUGCAUGCUCUGCCUUCCAGCACCAGGCAGGAGAAAUGAGACAAACAAGCUUUGAAAAUAAAUCUGACUCUCUCGCGGCUCCGGAUAGCCGACAAGUGUUCGUCCAUCUGCCGCAAGCGUUCACACUGUGAAUUCAUUGAUUUGAUAAUACUCUCGCAUAAUUGAUUAAGGAGAGACUGGCUUCUUGACUUGCCUCCAUGUUUUCUGUCUGAUGUCUUCCCAGCAUUGCUCUCUGCUUUACGCAUGGCGAGGAAGGAGAAACCAAUGAUUUUUUCCAGCACUUUUCAAUGGGAUACAUGCAUGCUAUUGGUUAUCCCAAAACGGUGUAUUUUUCAAGUUCUUGAAUGGCAGCAACUGUUAGGUGUGUGCUUCUUUCCCCCAAAAUAUUUCUCCCAAUCUUCACAAUGCCGUCUUCAUCCUCUCCACCCCACUGCCCCAUUGUAUUUAUAGGAAGUGAAGAAAAACCAGAGGUCCAUUGGCGCCUAGCAGUCACCAUCGCCUGACACAGAGCGAUGGUAACUGCAGAAUUGUCAUAUGAGAUAUUAGCCCAGGGAAUAACACUGAUCCUUCUCCUAUCAGCAACUGCAACAACCCAUCCGCCUCUCUGCAAUUGUGACAUUCAGAUGUCACCACCAUUUCAUUAAAUGGAAUCAAAACA